AUGGCCGCCGCCGCCGCGGCAACUCCUCACCUCGCCGCGGUCGGGACUGGGUCCCACCAUCACCACCAGCCGCCGCCUCGUCCGCCCGUGUCCAUCUCGGCCAGACCGAGGGCGCGCAUCGUGCCCGUCGCCGCGGCGGCCGCUACUCCGGCCACCGACGGCGUCGCGCCGGUGCCACCCCACCCCAGGCGCUCGGUUGUAAAGCGCCACACGAUAUCAGUUUUUGUUGGGGAUGAGAGUGGGAUGAUCAAUCGGAUUGCCGGGGUCUUCGCGAGAAGAGGGUACAACAUUGAGUCAUUGGCAGUUGGGCUGAACAAGGACAAGGCGCUGUUCACCAUUGUAGUGUCAGGAACAGAGAAAAUACUCACACAGGUCGUGGAGCAGCUCUACAAACUUGUCAAUGUUAUACAGGUUGAUGAUUUGUCAAAGGAACCACAAGUUGAAAGAGAGCUCAUGCUUAUAAAACUAAACGUAGAGCCGGAACAGCGACUCGAGGUGAUGGGUUUGGUUGACAUUUUCAGAGCCAAAGUGGUUGAUCUUUCAGACCAUACACUAACUGUUGAGGUAACUGGCGAUCCUGGAAAAAUUGCUGCUGUACAGAGGAACCUGAACAAAUUCGGGAUCAAAGAAGUUGCCAGAACUGGCAAGAUAGCUUUGCGGCGUGAGAAAAUGGGACAAACAGCUCCUUUUUGGAGGUUCUCCGUAGCUUCCUAUCCUGAUCUUGAAGUAAAAAUGCCUUCAAAAUCUACACUAAGCACUGCAAAGACAACCAGUGGGGAUUCUGAGGAAUCAUCCCAGGGCGAUGUUUAUCCAGUGGAAUCUUAUGAAAGCUUCUCGAUGAAUCAAAUUCUUGAUGCUCAUUGGGGUGCCAUGACUGACAGUGAUCCUACAGGGUUUUGUUCACAUACUUUGUCGAUCCUUGUGAAUGAUUCCCCUGGAGUUCUUAAUGUCGUAACGGGUGUCUUUGCCCGGAGGGGCUACAAUAUUCAGAGUCUUGCUGUUGGCCCAGCUGAAAAAACGGGCACUUCUCGCAUCACCACUGUCGUUCCUGGAAAUGAUGAAUCUAUCGCCAAGCUAGUACAACAACUUUACAAGCUCAUUGAUGUUUAUGAGGUUCAAGAUCUUACACAUUUACCAUUUGCGGCUAGAGAGUUAAUGAUCAUAAAGGUCGCUGGGAACACCUCAGCUCGCAGGGAAAUCCUGGAUAUUGCUGAGGAUGUUUUCAGGGCCAAAACGGUUGAUGUAUCAGGCCACACAAUAACUCUUCAGCUUACUGGAGACCUUGAUAAAAUGGUUGCACUACAAAGGUUGCUUGAGCCCUACGGCAUCUGUGAGAUUGCACGAACUGGCAGGGUUGCGCUGUGCCGUGAGUCAGGAGUCGAUUCUAAGUACCUCCGGGGGUAUUCCCUUCCUGGAUAG
Molecule: ribosomal RNA, 1419 nt
Filed under: Triticum aestivum (bread wheat)
Lineage: Eukaryota; Viridiplantae; Streptophyta; Magnoliopsida; Poales; Poaceae
Description: partial small subunit ribosomal RNA
Source: RNAcentral